Molecule: ribosomal RNA, 261 nt
Filed under: uncultured archaeon
Lineage: Archaea
Description: partial 16S ribosomal RNA
Rfam family: Archaeal small subunit ribosomal RNA
Source: RNAcentral
CAGCCGUAAACUAUGCGCGUUAGGUGUAUCGGUGACCACGAGUUACCGAGGUGCCGAAGGGAAACCGUGAAACGUGCCGCCUGGGAAGUACGGUCGCAAGGCUGAAACUUAAAGGAAUUGGCGGGGGAGCACCACAACGAGUGGAGCCUGCGGUUUAAUUGGACUCAACGCCGGAAAGCUCACCGGAUAAGACAGCGGAAUGAUUGCCGGGCUGAAGACUCUGCAUGACUAGCUGAGAGGAGGUGCAUGGCGUCAGUGACU